GCCGGGUCGCCCAUCCUGAAGGUGGAGCUGCGGAGCGGGCGGAGGAGGAGGAGGAGAUUUAACUGCUGUAACCUGUGGUCACCCCUCAAGACAAUAUAAACAGGACUCUGGGAGUUCAUCACGGUGAAGUAUAACCCUUGGUUCCUGCUUCAAAGUGCAUCUUUAUAACCAGUGUUUGCACAAGCCGAGGUGAUGUGGACACCUGCAUUUUGGUGUCUGCCCGCUUGGGACUCGGGUUCUGAGCUCUUGCGACAGUCCCUGAAGAGCUGGUCGACGCGGGGCUUGGUUUCGCUGCCGGCACGUAGCGCCCUCGGUGACGCCCUGGGGCCCAUCGCCCGCGCUGUGGGUGCUCCUCCAGGUUGGCUCUGGUCUCACAAACGUCUCCUGUCGUACCUUCAAGCUCCACGCAGACAUCUCUUGACGGUGUAGAACGUUUCAGAGGGCUUUCAAGCACCCCCCGUGGAAGCGGCUGAAAAAAGUCCUACCAUCAACAGCGCGAGGAGAGCAAGUCGGCUGAGAAAUGAUCACCGGUUCAGAACCUCAUCCACUCCUGCUUCCAGCGGGUAUCAAACAGAAAACCCUCGCCUGUCUUCAGGGUUCAGGUGCCCUGUGCAUAUGGAGACAUCUGAAAGGUCUCCGAAUCUUGAGCCAAAUCCUACCCAGACACAAAAAGUCAAACAGCUUCGUGCAGGGCUGUCUGUCGCUGCGGAGUUUGUGUCCUGCAGAGAUGCAGACACCCGCUAGAAAUGAAUUAACACUUGGCAGCCAGGUCGCUGGUCGCCCAAGAGCUAGCAGGUAUCCCCCUUCAACAGCGUGGCUUCUCACAGCUCCAUAAAUUUCCUGGGCUUAAGAGAAGUUACCAGCAGCUGCGGCUCAGCCCUGGGGUUUUUAAAUCAAGAUAUCCCACUGUGGUACAAAAUAUUCUAUAGGUUGGGUUCCAAUUUUUGAGAGGGGAAAUCACCGCGCACAUUGAGCGGCCAGUGCUGCACACAUCAGGUUAGAUUGUCAUCAGCAUCGUUCCCUUCCCUGCCUAAAACCUGAAAUUUUAACACAGAUUUCAUUAGUUGGGAGCUAUCGUGACACGGCCUUUCUCUUCAUAAAACGGUAACUUGGGAAAUAAAUUUCUCAAUAUGUUCUGAACAGUUCACUUAGGGAUUUCUGUGGUUAUAUCACCCUAAACUCUUGUUUUGCAGGAUAAACUUUAUGAAUAGAAAUAAAUCACCGCAGGUGAGGGCAGAGAAAAGUAGUUUUGGGUGGGACUGAUACCACCUAACUUUAGCUGUUUUGAAGUACAGCAACCCAUCCAAGCUGGGCAUCCAGAUAUUUUUCCGUAGCAAACAACGGAAGAGUAGCAUCUUCAGAACAUAAUUCAUCCCAUUUUAAAAGAGGAGAGUGGAGCAGGCAGGAUGGACUGUUCUCCAGAAAGGCUUCUUUCAUUCAACUCACAUCAAGUGCCCUAGUGAGUAGCUUAGAGUAGAUAGCUUGAUUUUUUUUGAUAACUGAAAUUAGGCAGAAAUUGUUUCCUUUGUUUACCUAGGAGAAACUGCAGAAUUUUAAAGCAAAUUUCAACCCCGUAAAAAUGUUACUCAUAUUACACAUUUACCAGCCAUUCCAAAAUAAAUCAGCUAUUUAGCACAAUAUCCUUCACAUUCCCCAUCAUAAUGAGUAUUUUGCAUUCCCCACUCCAGAUUUUCCUUACUGAUCUCAUAGUUCUCAAGAUUUAUUCCCUUCCUUACUAAGACCUUUUUUUCUUCCUGAACCCCAAAUUCAGAUUUGCUAAAAUAUUUGUCUUUUUGAAGUUCUUCCAACUCACUGAAAGUCUGAAGUCCAUUCAGAUAAAUCCAUAUGAAUGGCUAAAAUAUAUUAAGGACUUUUCUUUAUUUAAACUGUCAAUAAUGAAGAAAUACAGUGAUAACAUGUAAACUGUCCCUGGACUUUGGGGUAACAUUUCUCUAAGGCAACUGCACAGCCCACUGCUCUGCUGGAGGUACUGAUGUGAUCUAGCUUGCAAAUACAAAGAAACGGUGUAUAACUGAAUUUCAUUUAUAAUCUCCCAUAUUAAAUUCUGCAGAGAGCACCAAAUACCUUCAAAAUCUGUAAAAACAUCACUUCUGUAAAUAAAGCAAGGAUAUUUUUUCCUAGCAGGCUGACUUGUAAUAGAUUAGAUAGUGGAAAAAGUAUUGCAUGUCACCUAAAAUGUAUUUUUGGCAGCCUGUUUUGCUUAUAUGCAUACAUAUAUAUACACUUGGUCAAAAUAUUGUGGCUUGCUUUGUGAUUCUGUUUUCAUCUGACAGCAAAACCGUACAAUAAUAAUAAUAAAAAAAAAAAAAAAAAAAAAAA
Tyto alba (common barn owl) is the source of this 2340-nucleotide long non-coding RNA. RefSeq lists it as uncharacterized. The record is from RefSeq and is a predicted model, not a curated record. Lineage: Eukaryota; Metazoa; Chordata; Aves; Strigiformes; Tytonidae. The transcript has 3 exons.